This 69-nucleotide transfer RNA is filed under the name Parnips nigripes. Its description in RNAcentral is "tRNA-His". Lineage: Eukaryota; Metazoa; Arthropoda; Insecta; Hymenoptera; Figitidae. The record is from RNAcentral.
AUUUAAAUAGUUUAAAUUUAAAACAUUGAUUUGUGGAAUCAAAAUUAUAUAAAAUUUAUAUUUUAAAUA